GCAAGUCGAACGAGAAAGCCUGAAGCUUGCUUUGGGCGAGUAAAGUGGCGCACGGGUGAGUAACGCGUGGGUAAUUUACCUUUGAAUUUGGGAUAACGUGCCGAAAGGCACGCUAAUACCGGAUAAGAUCAUAUGCACUUAGGUGCAAGUGAUAAAAGAUGGCCUCUAUAUAUAAGCUGUCGUUUGGAGAUAAGCCCGCGUACCAUUAGCUAGUUGGUAGGGUAAAGGCUUACCAAGGCGACGAUGGUUAGCUGGUCUGAGAGGAUGAUC
This 270-nucleotide ribosomal RNA is filed under the name uncultured bacterium. RNAcentral's name for it is "partial 16S ribosomal RNA". It matches the Rfam family "Bacterial small subunit ribosomal RNA", at positions 57 to 305 of the family's 1533-position model. The record is from RNAcentral.